Molecule: non-coding RNA, 343 nt
Organism: Nicotiana tabacum (common tobacco)
Lineage: Eukaryota; Viridiplantae; Streptophyta; Magnoliopsida; Solanales; Solanaceae
Source: RefSeq, a predicted model, not a curated record
UGAAUUCUUUAGCAUUUAUUGAUGUUGUUAAGUUAAUUAUGGCUAGAUACAAGCGUAUUGGAGGUGGAAUUUAGAGGGAAAGUGGUAUUUGAGGCAUGAUUUUGGUCGUGGAAUCGAGAUCUCGGUGUUGGACCAUGUGAGUAGAGUUGGGUGGCUGCCUUCAGUCCAGUGGAGAUCUAAGGUAGUCCUGCAGGCGUCCGCAGGCCUUGGCGUCCCUUUCUAUCCUGUUUCUUUUCUGUUUUAUCUAUUUUAGAGACAGAUGUGUAUUUCUUUAUUCAGACUAUUGUUUAUAGUAUUCAUAGACUGUCUGUGAGUAGUGAAACCAGUUCUGAGUUGAGUUUUA